Molecule: ribosomal RNA, 443 nt
Filed under: uncultured bacterium
Lineage: Bacteria
Description: partial 16S ribosomal RNA
Rfam family: Bacterial small subunit ribosomal RNA
Source: RNAcentral
CCUACGGGGGACUGCAGUGGGGAAUCUUGGGCAAUGGGCGCAAGCCUGACCCAGCAACGCCGCGUGAAGGAAGAAGGCCUUCGGGUUGUAAACUUCUUUUAUCAGGGACGAAGCAAGUGACGGUACAUGAGGAAUAAGCCACGUCUAACUACGCGCCAGCAGCCGCGGUAAUACGUAGGUGGCAAGCGUUACCCGGAUAUACUGGGUGAAAAGGGCGUGGAGGCGGGGAAGCAAGUCAGAUGGGAAAUCCGUGGGCCAAACCUGUGGACUGUAAUUGAAACUGUGUUGCUUGAGAACUGGAGAGGCAGAUGGAAUUCCUAGUGUAGGGGUGAAAUGCGUAGAUAUUAGGAAGAACACCAGUGGCGAAGGCAGGCUACUGGAACGCAACUGACGCUAAGGCACGAAAGCGUAGGGAGCAAACGGGAUUAGAUACCCGGGUAGUC